UCAACAAAGGUGUACUAACUACACACUACACUCGCCAGGGAAUUACGAGCAAUUUGCUUAAAACUCAAAGGACUUGACGGUAUUUCGAACCCCCCUAGAGGAGCCUGUCCUGUAAUCGAUAACACACGAUCCACCUAACCACCUUUUGCCCUAAACAGCCUGUAUACCGCCGUCGCAAGCUAAGCCCGUGAGGGACAAAACCCCAGCACAAUAACACACCUCUAAGCUAGUACGUCAGGUCAAGGUGCAGCCUAUAAGUUGGUAGAGACGGGCUACAUUUUCUACAUCAUAGAAAUUGGUCACGGAGAGGCCUGUGAAACCAGGACUGUCAAAGACGGAUUUAGCAGUAAAUUAGGAGAAGAGUGCCUAAUUGAAGGUGGCCCCGGAAUAUGUACACACCGCCCGUCACCUCA
This 413-nucleotide ribosomal RNA is filed under the name Crocodylus niloticus (Nile crocodile). RNAcentral's name for it is "partial 12S ribosomal RNA". It matches the Rfam family "Bacterial small subunit ribosomal RNA", at positions 801 to 1404 of the family's 1533-position model. The record is from RNAcentral. Lineage: Eukaryota; Metazoa; Chordata; Crocodylia; Crocodylidae.